GUUGAUUUAUCUCUGCAGGUCAAUUGCUGAUUGGGAUACAAUACAUGGAUUUGUUCGGUUGCAUUUUUUAUACAUCGAAAGAGUCUGCUUCCCGGUUGCGAAGCUAUUCAUUGCGGAGGGGUGGAGCCCACCCGCGAUUUGGAUACGUUAGUUGUUUUUUCCGUCUGUCUUGUUCUUCUUCAUGCACAGGAAGCUGUGACUUGUUACUGUAUUAGAGCUGCAUUCCUCCGUAAGCUUAGUAAUAUACAUACUAUAUUUUGACGAUGGAUUGGUGCAUCCUCUUAUUUGUUUUGCAUUGUUGCGGUGCCUUGCCUGCAUGCCUGUUUUGGGCUUAAUUAUAUUGUGAUUACAUACACCAUCUAGAAUUUCUCGCACUGGAAUCUGAAAGAAACAAAUCAUGUCCCUCAACUAAAUUAGCGUAUUUGGGGAACCUGAGAUUAUGUAGAGGGAGUUGUGGAGAGUGAAGAUUCUUUUGCAAAUUGUGGUACCAUAUAUGGACUGGCUCACAUGUGGUGAUUAUAAAUGUUUUUGGGUAGUUGGGAAUUCACAUUGGUAUCUUUACCGGCCGAGACUUUGCUGGGCUCUCUAUAUAAAACCACACUUCAAAUGUGUUUCCUUCAGACUAUAAACAUAAUGAUGACAUUUAGAAGAUCCAUCUUGUGAAGUGAGUGAAACUUUUACUGAAUCAUCGGUUGUAGCUUAGGGCUGGGAGGCAUCAGGAGAGCAGUUAGCUCAUGGAUUGAGAAGGAAAGCAUAGGUUAGCUCAAGCUCACAGGAUUGUUCUGCGACAUCUGCAAUGCACCUAGGCAGCAUGGCAGAAAGUACGAACAUGUGUGCAUUAGCUUACUCUCCACUGCUCACCCACGGAAAGACGGACGUGCUGUUUAGCCCUUUUGUGGUGUGUAGACGACGCGAGCUGGUAUGUUUUGACGUGGAUGGUUCGUUCCUUCCAGGGGGCUUGCUCCUCCCGUACGCCAUACCGGUCUCUUUUCUCUACCAGUGAGAAAUGAGUCAUAUAUACUUCCCUUCGUUUCAUAAUAUAAUGUGUAUACAUUUUGUAAAAAGUCAAACUUUGUAAACUUUGACCAAGUUUAUAGAGAAAACUAUUUAUAUCUGCAAUAUCAAAUAUAUAAAAUCUGAAACUAUGUCUUACAAUGGAUCUAAUGAUAUAUGCUUGCCAUUCUAGAUGUAAAUGUAUUUCUCCACAAGCUUGGUCAAAGUUGGUGAGGUCUGACUUAAAAAAAAGAUCUAUAUGCACUACAUAUGGAACUUAAAAAAAAGAAGAUCUAUAUGCACUACAUAUGGAACGGAGGGAGUGCUUUAUAGGUUUAACACCAAUCACAUCAAACAUAUAUGACUAGAAUGCCGACACACAUCAUGCGACAUCACUCACGUUUUUUAUGAGUGAACCACUUAUUCUUCUUGUACCUACUAUCUCCACCUCUCUCCACCAAUCCAAGCUUGCCAACACAUCAAUGGUGCAUCUAACUUGCAAUCCUCCUCGGCACCUUAGAGCAAGGUUUAUGGUAGAGCCAAGUGUUGGCUAUAUCUUGUUGCUAUGUCAUCUAUAGCCAGCCUAAUAGCCAACAUGUACAAUAGUUAGUUGAAAAAAGUAUUAAUACUUUAGUAAUACAUGGCCACCUCACACUCUCAUGACGUUUCUUGGAGACCGUGUUGGAGCUGACUCUUAAUUUGCAACCCACUUCCCUUCUCUCUCCUCUUCUCUCAUCCAACUCAGUAAAAUAUAAUACUUUAAUUCGUAUAGCCCACUUACAUCACCUCGAUAUACUUGCUCUUAGUAUAUGACCACCCAAAAAUCAGUUACUAACCGCACAACAAUGCAUACAUAUCAACCUUAUUGAUUAGAAAGAUUCUUUUGAUCCCUUUUUGUAGUGACUAGUCAGCUGAACAUUUGGGAGUAGUAAUUUAAUGUCCGAACUUUUCAAUAUUUUUUAUUAGUUUCCAUUUAUUCCCUUUGCUCUCGCAUUAUCGUAAUGUCAAUGUUUGUGUUCUUCGACCACAACAAAGGUAACAUCCUUUGCAAUCACAGCAAAUCUAUAUACCUCAGAAAAUCAAACUAAAACAAAGAUCAAACCCCGGCUCCUCGUUUCUAAAAAAGAGAAAAUCAGUUACUAACCGCAUAUAUAUUAUGUAAUUCACUCUAAAUAAAUCAAAAUCACAUUACAAGUCAAAUGAAACUCGAAGGAACUGUCAAUAUCUUUGUCAAGCAGACCUCUAAUUCCAAGAUGGACAUUCAAUGUCUCCCUCCAUCUUGGUAGCUACAACAUGGUUUUUUCUCCAAAAAUAAAAGAGCAUAGCGAAGUGUUUUAGUAAACGCAAGGAGGCGACAAGACAUGAACUCACAUCACGACAUGACCAUGAACACUGCAGUCAGCCGAAAAAUAAUUUUCUUCAACCACAUCACGACAUGACCAUGAACACUGCAGUCAGCAGAAAAAUAAUUUUCUUCAACCUGGAUCUUGAUAGUACAUUUUCAGCUCCAUUAGUACAUCUAGCAGCUUCAUGUGUUCCCAGUUUCAGCUCAUGAUACUUCUUUUCUUCUAUGGUGACACAAAUCUGUCAAAAAAUCUUGGAAAAACAAAAAAGUUUAGAAAAAUAGUUCAUAAUAGCAAUGACACAAAACAAUUCAGAAAAGCAAGAAGGGGAUGAGGGAGGGGGGAGAAAGGAUGGAGGAGCCUGUCGGCCCAAGUCCGGCGGGCAGCAGCGGACCACUGGUUCGCAGCAAGCCUGCAGACCCGAUCGGUGGUAUUGAAUUUGGGGUGUUGAUUUUGCAGGUCAAUUGUUGAUUGGGAUAUAGUACAUGGAUUUGUUCGGUUGCAUUUUUUAUACAUGGAAAAGUCUGCUUCCCGGUUGUGAAGCUAUUCGUUGCGGAGGGGUGGAGCCCGCUCGCGAUUUGUACAUGUUAGUUGUUUUUUUGUCUGUCUUGUUCUUCAGGAAGUUGUGUCUUGUUACUGUAUUAGAUCUGCAUCUUUCUGUAAGCUUAGUAAUAUAUACAUACUAUUUUGAGGAUGGAUUGGUGCACCCUCUAUUUGUAUUGCAUUGCCGCGGUACCUUGUCUGCAUGACUGUUUUGGGCAUAAUUAUAUUGUGAUUACAUACACCAUCUAGAAUUUCUUGCACCGGAAACAAAGGGUUUUCCGCAGCUAAAUUACUAGUGUGUCAGGGGAACCUGAGAUUGUGUCUGAGGGAGUUGUGGAGAGUUAAGUUUUCUGGCGAAUUGUGAUACCAUAUAUGGACUGACUCAGAGGUGUGGUGGUUUAUCAUUUCUGAAAUGUUUUGGAGUAGUUGGGAAUUCACAUGGUAUCUUCAUCGAGGCUUCUUCACUGGUGGCUCUGUAUAUAUAGCCACACUUCAAAUGUGUUUCUUCAAAGAACAUAUAAACAUACGAGAGAAUUCCUUAUUUGGCCCUUGACUAAAAUCUGGUUUCCUUUUUGGCCCUAAAAAAAUUAUUUUUCCUUUUUUGACACAACAACUUCAUUUUCUUCCUUCUUUGACACUUCCGUUAGUUUUUGCCGUUAACACCGUCAACUGCAACUUGAAAAGUCAUUUUUACCCCUGUUGUAGGCCGCUGAAAAAAAACAGGAAAACAAAAUCCCGCUGACCAAACAGUCAACAGCGUAGCGAGCCCUUCCCUAUUCUCCCGAUUCCCCUUCUCCUCGAUCCCUAACCCUACACAGCGGCCGCGCGAGGCUGGAGGAGCGGAUGGAGGAGGGCGUGGCCGACGCUGCUCCGGGUGAAGGGAUGGACGGCGCUGUGGAGGAAGGCCACGGCGCUGCACCGGCCUCGUCCUCGGGCGACCAUGGCGGGCAGGAGAAGGGCGGCCAUGGCGGGAUGAAGGAGGACGGCCCAGGCGCGGCGCCAGAGGGCGACCAUGGAGGGGAGGUGGAGGGCGGGCAAGGUGCUGCGCCGGAGGGCGGUCAAGGUGCGGCGCCGAAGCAGGGCAAUGACGAUGGUGCGACUGCCACAGAUGCAAGUACUCCGGCAUGGCUUGAAGGGUAAGUGCCUCUCUUCUCUAGCAGAUUUGAGUAUUUGCUUCACCUCUGUUCAUAUAAAACAGUGUUCUUAGAGAUGGAUUGAAGAUGCAUCAGUGUACUUAGAGAUGGAUCUUUUGCUUUCACAGGAUGGAUCCAGACUCAACUUAUUUACUGAAAAUCAACUUGCUUGGCAACCCCAAAAAAGUUAGGAAGGACAUCAGAUGUCAAAAAGCUAGGAAGGAUAUCAAAUUGAAGAAGUGAUUUGAAUUAAUAAUCGUUAUGCAGACAAGCUAAAUAGCAUAUUAUGUUUCAUUCGGCACUAUAUUCCAAUUCGUAUUGCCAUUGCUUUUGACUUCCAGUUCACAAUUUUGGUCACAAAAUACAGCAGGGGUAAAGUGGACUUCUCAUGUGGUAUUUAACGGUGUUAGUUGUCAAAACUAGCAGAAGUGUCACAAAAGGAACAAAAUGAAGUUUGAGUGUCAAAAAGGGAAGAAUUUUUUUUAGGGCCAAAAAGGGAACCAAAUUUUAAGAGAGGGCCAAAUAAGGAAUUCUCUCUAAACAUAAUGAUGACAUUUAGAAGGACAUCCCUGCAUCUAUCUUGUGAAGUGAGUGUGAAAUUUUUACUGAAUCGUUGGUUGUAGCUAGCUUAGGGCUGAGAGGCAUCAGGAAAGCUGUUAGCUUAUGGAUUCGGAAAAAUAGUACGUACUGGUUAGCUCAAGCUCACAAGAUUGAUGCAGAAGUCCAACAUUGGUUAACUCAAGCUCACAAGAUUGUUAUGCGUCAGGAUACAACAUCUGCAAUGUACGUAGGCAGCAUGACGGAGCCUGUGACCAUCUCUGCAUUAGUUUAUGCUCCACUGCUCAGCCACAAAGAGACAAACGUGCAGUUUAGCUCACUUGUGGUGUGUACGCGACGCGGGCAUGUUUGUUUCGACACGCAGAGUGUGUUCAUCGCAGAGAGCUUGCUCCUCCCAUACGCCAUAUUACCAAGUAUCUUUUCUCUACUACUCCCUCCGUAAAUUAAUAUAAGAGCAUUUAGAUCACUACUUUAGUUAUCUAAACGCUCUUAUAUUAGUUUACAGAGGAAUACUAGUUAAUUUAUACGUGUGUUGUAAUGAGCUAUAUCUAUACUAUAGCUUUAACACCAAUCAUGCCAAACAUAUAGGCCAGCAUAGAAAAAAGUGCAUUUUUAGUCACCAACAAGAUGAAGGGCGGAUCGAAGGUCAAGAAGAGCUCAAGAGUUUUUUGCGGAAAAACUUCCUAUCUAUUCAUUAUCAAUCAUGACAGUACAACGAACAUAAAAAAUAAUGAAAAUUACAUCCAGAUCUGUAGACCAUCUAGCAAUGACUACAAACACUGAAGCGAGCCGAAGACGUGUCACCGGCAUCACCCCUUCAUCGCUAGAGCUGAGCAAAACUUGUUCUAGUAGACAGUCGGAAAGUUGGCGACUGUAGUUCCUUAUGGUCUUCAUGUAGGCUGAAGGCCUUUGAAGUAAACUCUUCCUGAUGUCAUUUUAAAAAAUAUGCAUCAUCUGUAUCGAACUGUUAUUGUAGGUUAAUGCAACUUUAGAUGUUAACUUGGUUCCUCCGGCAGCCUACCUUUCUAGGUGAAUCUCUGAAUGUGAUGAUCCUCUAUUUUCUUUUGGCUCCUCCUUGGUCAGGCUGGAGUAGUUAUAGUAUAGUAAAUAAUGUAUCCGUACGUAUUCUGAGCUACUGAUUUGUUGGCCCAUCUUAGUCAGAGACUUGUGAUUAAUCCUCUGUUUACCCAUUUAUCAUCUUAACCUUCAUCCAAAUUGUUCCCUGUUUGUGAUCUUUGUGGCAUUGAAUUUAACCCGUUGAUUUAUCUCUGCAGGUCAAUUGCUGAUUGGGAUACAAUACAUGGAUUUGUUCGGUUGCAUUUUUUAUACAUCGAAAGAGUCUGCUUCCCGGUUGCGAAGCUAUUCAUUUCGGAGGGGUGGAGCCCGCCCGCGAUUUGCAUACGUUAGUUGUUGUUCUUUCUGUCUGUCUUGUUCUUUUUCAUGCACAGGAAGCCGUGACUUGUUACUGUAUUAGAAGUGCAUUGGCCCGUAAGCUUAGUAAUAUAUACAUACUAUAUUUUGAGGAUGGAUUUGGUGCAUCCUGUGUGUUGUUUUGCACUGCUGCGGUACCUUGUCUGCAUGCCUGUUUUGGGCUUAAUUUUAUUGUGAUCACGUACACCAUCUAGAAUUUCUCGCACUGGAAUCUGAAAAAAACCAAGGUUUUUUUUAGGACAUCUCAAGCGGGGGCGAGGGUUUCUGCAUUUCAUUUAGAAGAAGAGAGAUGGUCCAGUUUAUAAGGAAAACCGGACCCAAAAACCUAACAUUUUCGGUUAAUUAAGGAAAACCAAGUGGAAACAAAAAAAAACAGAAAAAGAUACUAGAGCUUGGGCACAGGGGAAGGCACCGACAUCAAGAGACAUCGUCAGAGCAGACACAAAGGUGCCAAGGCCCAAAAUCAUUGGGCGUGGCUCAAGUGCAACCGAACAUAUCUUAUACCUAUCGAGCCCCAAAAUCAUUGAGUGUGGCUCAAGUGCAAUUGAACAUAUCUUAUACAUGUCGAGCCUUACUGCACGGAAGCAUCAUGGGCUAUCAUUAUCUUGUGGGAAACAUCCUGCAAGGCCCAACUUUCACUUUCCCGCAAUGCCCGCCAAAGUAUUCAAUGCCACUAUCACUUGCCGUGAAAAGGGGUUUCCCGCAACUAAAUUAGUGUAUUUGGGAAGCGUGAGAUUAUGUCUGAGGGAGUUGUGGAGAGCAAAGAUUUUACCCUUUUUCAUUGUGGAUUAUGGUACCAUAUAUGGACUGGCUCACAUGUGGUGAUUAUAAAUGUUUUGGGGUAGUUGUGAAUUCACAUUGGUAUCUUUACCGGCCGAGACUUUGCUGGUGGCUCUAUAUAUAACCACACUUCAAAUGUCUUUCCUUCCAAGGACAUAUAAGUACAACGAUGGCGUCUAGAAGUAAAUCCCUUACAUCUAUCUUGUGAAGUGAGUGAACUUUUUACUGAAUCAUUGGUUGUAGCUAGCUUAGGGCUGGGAGGCAUCAGGAAAGCCGUUAGCACAUUGAUUCAAAAAGAAAGCACUAGUUAGCCCAAGCUCACAAGAUUGUUCUGUGUUAGGAUAUAACAUCUGCAAUGCACACAGGCAGCAUGGCAAAGACUACGACCAUCUUCGCAUUAGCUUACGCUCCACUGGGUGACCCAUAGAAAGACGGACCUGCAGUUUAGCCCUAUUGUGAUGUGUAGACAACGUGAGCUGCUAUGUUUUGAUUCGCGGGGUACGUUCCUCAUAGGGGGCUUGCUCCUCCCAUACACCGUACCCUUCUCUUUUCUCUACUAGUUGUCUGUGCAUUGCAAUGUGCCAUAUAUAUUCUAUAGUUAACACUGAUCGUGUCAAACAUAUACGACUAGAAUGCCCAUGCACAUCAUGCGACAUCACUGACUUUAUUUUGAUGAGUGAAUCACUUAUUCUUCUUUUACCUACUAUCUCCACCUCUCUCCACCAAUCCAAGCUUGCCACCACAUCAAUGGUGCAUCGCACUCACAAUCAUCCUCCACACAUUAGAGCAAGGUUAAUGGUAGAGCCAAGUGUUGGCUAUAUCUUGUUGCCAUGUCAUCUAUAGCCAGCCUAAUAGCCACUAUGUAUAUUAGUUAGCUAAAAAAGUAUUAGUACUUCAGUAAUACAUGGCCACCUCACACUCUCAUGAUGUUUCUUGGAGCUCGUGUUGGACUGACUCUUAAUUUGCAGCCCGGUUCCCUUCUCUCUCAUCUUCUCUCUCAUCCAACUCAGAAAACAUAUAAUACUUUAAUUCGUAUGGCCCAUUUACAUCACCUUAAUAUACUUGCUCUUGGUAUAUGACCACCCAAAAAUCAGUUACUAACCGCACAACAAUGCAUACAUAUCAACCUUGUUGAUUAGAAAGAUUCUUUUGAUGUCUUUUUGUAGUGACCAGUCAGCUGAACAUUUGGGAGUAGUAAUUUAAUAUCCCAACUUUUCAAUAUUUUUUAUUAAUAUUCCGUUCACCCCCUUUGCUCUCACAUUGUCGUAAUGUCAAUGUUUGUGUUCUUCGACCACAACAAAGAUAGCAGUCUUUGCAAUCACAACUAUUUUGAGGAUAGAUUGGUGCAACCUCUAUUUGUAUUGCAUUGCUGCGGUACCUUGUC
Molecule: long non-coding RNA, 8165 nt
Filed under: Triticum aestivum (bread wheat)
Lineage: Eukaryota; Viridiplantae; Streptophyta; Magnoliopsida; Poales; Poaceae
Description: long non-coding RNA (TAES_LNC007784)
Source: RNAcentral